RNAcentral lists this ribosomal RNA (1452 nucleotides) under Lactobacillus sp. YD8S. RNAcentral describes it as "bacterial SSU rRNA". It matches the Rfam family "Bacterial small subunit ribosomal RNA". The record is from RNAcentral. Lineage: Bacteria; Bacillati; Bacillota; Bacilli; Lactobacillales; Lactobacillaceae.
CGAACGAACUCUGGUAUUGAUUGGUGCUUGCAUCAUGAUUUACAUUUGAGUGAGUGGCGAACUGGUGAGUAACACGUGGGAAACCUGCCCAGAAGCGGGGGAUAACACCUGGAAACAGAUGCUAAUACCGCAUAACAACUUGGACCGCAUGGUCCGAGUUUGAAAGAUGGCUUCGGCUAUCACUUUUGGAUGGUCCCGCGGCGUAUUAGCUAGAUGGUGGGGUAACGGCUCACCAUGGCAAUGAUACGUAGCCGACCUGAGAGGGUAAUCGGCCACAUUGGGACUGAGACACGGCCCAAACUCCUACGGGAGGCAGCAGUAGGGAAUCUUCCACAAUGGACGAAAGUCUGAUGGAGCAACGCCGCGUGAGUGAAGAAGGGUUUCGGCUCGUAAAACUCUGUUGUUAAAGAAGAACAUAUCUGAGAGUAACUGUUCAGGUAUUGACGGUAUUUAACCAGAAAGCCACGGCUAACUACGUGCCAGCAGCCGCGGUAAUACGUAGGUGGCAAGCGUUGUCCGGAUUUAUUGGGCGUAAAGCGAGCGCAGGCGGUUUUUUAAGUCUGAUGUGAAAGCCUUCGGCUCAACCGAAGAAGUGCAUCGGAAACUGGGAAACUUGAGUGCAGAAGAGGACAGUGGAACUCCAUGUGUAGCGGUGAAAUGCGUAGAUAUAUGGAAGAACACCAGUGGCGAAGGCGGCUGUCUGGUCUGUAACUGACGCUGAGGCUCGAAAGUAUGGGUAGCAAACAGGAUUAGAUACCCUGGUAGUCCAUACCGUAAACGAUGAAUGCUAAGUGUUGGAGGGUUUCCGCCCUUCAGUGCUGCAGCUAACGCAUUAAGCAUUCCGCCUGGGGAGUACGGCCGCAAGGCUGAAACUCAAAGGAAUUGACGGGGGCCCGCACAAGCGGUGGAGCAUGUGGUUUAAUUCGAAGCUACGCGAAGAACCUUACCAGGUCUUGACAUACUAUGCAAAUCUAAGAGAUUAGACGUUCCCUUCGGGGACAUGGAUACAGGUGGUGCAUGGUUGUCGUCAGCUCGUGUCGUGAGAUGUUGGGUUAAGUCCCGCAACGAGCGCAACCCUUAUUAUCAGUUGCCAGCAUUAAGUUGGGCACUCUGGUGAGACUGCCGGUGACAAACCGGAGGAAGGUGGGGAUGACGUCAAAUCAUCAUGCCCCUUAUGACCUGGGCUACACACGUGCUACAAUGGAUGGUACAACGAGUUGCGAACUCGCGAGAGUAAGCUAAUCUCUUAAAGCCAUUCUCAGUUCGGAUUGUAGGCUGCAACUCGCCUACAUGAAGUCGGAAUCGCUAGUAAUCGCGGAUCAGCAUGCCGCGGUGAAUACGUUCCCGGGCCUUGUACACACCGCCCGUCACACCAUGAGAGUUUGUAACACCCAAAGUCGGUGGGGUAACCUUUUAGGAACCAGCCGCCUAAGGUGGGACAGAUGAUUAGGG